UUGCUCUUGAUUGAAACAGCUUGAACAAUUAUUGCAUCACAAGUACCAACCAUUAUUAUUAUUUGGCAGGACUUGAAUAAUGCAGAGUGGAAAUGAAACCCAAGAUUAUUAAACACUUAGCCUAUGCAGUAAUUCUUCAAAUUUGCAUUGGAAUAGGCUUUUGUUACAGACAUGGUCCCACUUCAUUUUUCUGGGAAGAAGCAGUGAGAACAAAGAUCAGAAAACUACAUGGAAAUUGACAGAACCCUUGAGGGGCUUCAUAUGAACAUGGACAAAAACUAAAACUAGUGUUGAUUCUCUCUCUUGUUUUUGAAAUGUUCAUUAAUGGUGGUGGUACCAAUCAACAUGUAUUUGAUCUAAUAACUGGUUUGGAAGGGCUUGACUGUCUUCAGAUCACCAACA
This 402-nucleotide unclassified non-coding RNA is filed under the name Hevea brasiliensis (rubber tree). The record is from RNAcentral. Lineage: Eukaryota; Viridiplantae; Streptophyta; Magnoliopsida; Malpighiales; Euphorbiaceae.